GCCGGGGUGAGCAAAGCCGCCGUCGCUGAGCGCCUACUGGGAGGCAGCCCUGAGGUGAUCUCAUUCUACCUUCCACCACUCUGAAGCCCAAGUUCCUCUACUACUUCGGCGUAUGUUGACCAUGGGCAUCAGGCAUCAGAGAUGCAGCUUUGGAUCCUGUCCAUCCAUUGCUGAGCACUCUGUCCAUCCUGGGCACAGAAGUUAUAUACACGUUUGCUGGUCUUGAGCUACAAAACCAAAUGACAGAGAACCAGAGAUGAAAGUCAGGGCUGUUUUAUGGCUUUGGAACUUUGAGGGAAGACUGCCUCUUUCUGCUGGGAUUACUACAUUUGUGAGGCUUGGAACUAUCAGGCCACCUUUGUGCCACAAUGAGACUGAUGUGACAAAGGGAAAAGCAGAGCUGGGAGACAAACACAGCCUAAAGAUACUGUAGGAGAAGCCUGCGUGCCCUUGGCUGUCCUAGUUUGUGUGAGUAAAUUCCUUUUUGCUUCAGCUAGCAUAA
Molecule: long non-coding RNA, 502 nt
Organism: Lemur catta (Ring-tailed lemur)
Lineage: Eukaryota; Metazoa; Chordata; Mammalia; Primates; Lemuridae
Exons: 3
Source: RefSeq, a predicted model, not a curated record